UACGUAGGGGGCUAGCGUUGUCCGGAAUCAUUGGGCGUAAAGCGCGUGUAGGCGGCUCGGUAAGUCCGCUGUGAAAGUCGGGGGCUCAACCCUCGGAUGCCGGUGGAUACUGUCGGGCUAGAGUACGGAAGAGGCGAGUGGAAUUCCUGGUGUAGCGGUGAAAUGCGCAGAUAUCAGGAGGAACGCCAAUUGCGAAGGCAGCUCGCUGGGACGUUACUGACGCUGAGACGCGAAAGCGUGGGGAGCAAACAGG
RNAcentral lists this ribosomal RNA (253 nucleotides) under uncultured bacterium. RNAcentral's name for it is "partial 16S ribosomal RNA". It matches the Rfam family "Bacterial small subunit ribosomal RNA", at positions 524 to 776 of the family's 1533-position model. The record is from RNAcentral.